Molecule: ribosomal RNA, 253 nt
Filed under: uncultured bacterium
Lineage: Bacteria
Description: partial 16S ribosomal RNA
Rfam family: Bacterial small subunit ribosomal RNA
Source: RNAcentral
UACGAGUGCCCCGAGCGUUAUCCGGAAUCAUUGGGCGUAAAGGGUGUGUAGGGGGCAGUGUUAGUCGUCUGUUAAAACCUGGGGCUUAACCCCAGAUGUGCGGACGAAACGGCACAGCUAGAGGAUGCGAGGGAUCUGUGGAACUCAUGGAGUAGGGGUGAAAUCCGUUGAUAUCAUGGGGAACACCGGUGGCGAAGGCGGGUCUCUGGGCAGUAACUGACGCUGAGGAGCGAAAGCGUGGGGAGCGAACAGG